UUAACACUUCAUGACUGAGAUCAGAACAGAAUCUUCAUCAUCACACAAACCAAAAGAACAACAAUGACUUUCAUCAUCAUCUUCAUCUGGACACUCACAGUCUUUACUCAAGUGUGUAGAGGACAGUACACUCUUACUCAGAGUCCAUCAAUAACAGUUCAACCAGGACAACAAGUUCAAAUAAACUGUAAAGUCAGCAGUGCAGUGCAUGCUGGUAGUUACUUACACUGGUACUUACAGAGACCUGGAGAAACUCCUAAACUCCUCAUAUAUUAUGCAACAAGCCUCCAGUCAGGAACUCCAUCAAGAUUCAGUGGCAGCGGAUCAAACACAGAUUUCACUUUGACCAUCAGUGGAGUUCAGACUGAAGAUUCAGGAGAUUAUUACUGUCAGAGUUUACACAUACCUAGUAGUGGUGUGUUGACACAGUGAUAAAGAGUGAUACAAAAACCUCUUUCAGUCAGACUCACAGUGACUGCACUUAUACACAUGACAGAUACUGCAGAUGAUGAUGGUCAUAAUUUAUUUAACUUACAGCUGAUUUAUUUUGUUUUAUAGUACAUUUAAAUAACAACAUUACAGAUAAUUAUACAUUUAAUAUGUAUAUUUUUUAUAGUUAUAAAUCGUAUCAUUAAUUUAUCUAUCAAUUUUUGCUGUGUUAAAGCAGCUUCAACAUGGAUGAAUUUUAUUAUUAUUGUACUACAGUUUAAUUUUAACUGAUUAUAAUCACUCAUAUAGAGAAACAUCAGUCAGUAUCACUGACCACAUUUGCUUGAACCCUCAUAAUGUGAUUAUAAUGGGAUUUUGGAAAUAUUAUGAUUAUACUGUCACGGUGAUCCGUGUCAUGUUUUGUUUGUGUCUCCGAUUACGUCACCUGGACAAUUCACGAACUGAUUCAUCACACCUGUUCCGUGUUUAGUGCUGUGUAUUUAUACUGCUGUCUGUUUCUCACCUGUCGCCGGAUCAUUGUCAUUGCCAUUACGUUCAUGUCUGUUCCUGUUCCUUCUGUUGGAUGUUCCUGUGUUUACCCGCCUGUUGUUUU
Misgurnus anguillicaudatus (oriental weatherfish) is the source of this 1042-nucleotide non-coding RNA. The record is from the annotation of a RefSeq genome assembly. NCBI's taxonomy places the organism in Eukaryota, Metazoa, Chordata, Actinopteri, Cypriniformes, Cobitidae.